UACCAGCUCUCCGAGUGGUAGGGAUGAUUAUUGGGCUUAAAGCGUCCGUAGCCGGCUUAGCAAGUCUCCUGUUAAAUUCAGCGACCUAAUCGUUGAGCCGCGGGAGAUACUACUAGGCUAGGAGGCGGGAGAGGUCAACGGUACUUCCGGGGUAGGGGUGAAAUCCUAUAAUCCCGGGAGGACCACCAGUGGCGAAGGCUGUUGACUAGAACGCGCCCGACGGUGAGGGACGAAAGCUGGGGGAGCGAACCGGAUUAGAUACCCGGGUAGUCCCAGCUGUAAACGAUGCGAGCUAGGUGUUGGGGUGGCUACGUGCCAUUCAGUGCCGCAGGGAAGCCAUUAAGCUCGCCGCCUGGGGAGUACGGCCGCAAGGCUGAAACUUAAAGGAAUUGGGCGGGGAGCACCACAAGGGGUGAAGCUUGCGGUUU
This 428-nucleotide ribosomal RNA is filed under the name uncultured archaeon. Its description in RNAcentral is "bacterial SSU rRNA". It matches the Rfam family "Archaeal small subunit ribosomal RNA", at positions 474 to 903 of the family's 1478-position model. The record is from RNAcentral.